AUAGAAAAGGGAUUCUAAGGUCUCUGCCCACCCUCCUUAUUUUAUAGAUGUGGAAACUAAGACCCAAAGACAGAGGCAUUGUGACAAGGUCACAGAACUGAGUGAAGCUUCGGCUGAGACCAGAACCCAGGGUUCUUGACUUCUCCGUGAGGGUUCCCUUCACCAAACAGAGCUGCCACAGGAUGAAAGCUAUCACAUGUGGGGCUGUUGGAGUGGAGGAGAUUUUAGAAGAAGAAAAAAGAAAGAUGAAGAAGGAGCAGACACUUCUGUUUGCCAUAUACCUGCUUCUCAAGAACUACAUGAAGAAAACCUGGCUCACACAGAAAUGUACGAAGAGAGAGACAGGGGUGGCCUAUAUUAGGAACAGCGCUGGCCAGGCCACACAGCUCGGUCUCAUACUGCCCUCUGCAGUCUGACUGCAGUCUUCACAACCUACCCCGAGUGUCACAACGUGGGACAUCCUGCACACACGUCCAGUCCCUCGGGUAGAAUCACUGCCCACCUUUGGCCUGGAGACAAAAAGACCAAAUUAGGAAGACAAUAGUUUACCCAGAUUGGUAUGAUUUGCUCACCCAACGUCUCCCACCCCCUCUCCAUUCUACAAUACAGCAUGCGACCCCUGAAGAGGAGAAGGCAGAUGCUAUCUAGGUCAAAAACAUAUUGUAUGAAGAGAGAAAUAAUCCAAGGGAAAGAAAGAUGGAGUUCUGCGGACUCAAUCUAUUAUUCAAGAAGAAAAAUCCUUAACAGAUAUAUAUGCUGAAAGGAGACGGAGAACCUGUCCUAAAACGC
Molecule: long non-coding RNA, 789 nt
Filed under: Equus caballus (horse)
Lineage: Eukaryota; Metazoa; Chordata; Mammalia; Perissodactyla; Equidae
Description: lncRNA (ENSECAG00000034574.3)
Source: RNAcentral